Molecule: long non-coding RNA, 560 nt
Filed under: Capsella rubella
Lineage: Eukaryota; Viridiplantae; Streptophyta; Magnoliopsida; Brassicales; Brassicaceae
Description: long non-coding RNA (CRUB_LNC002024)
Source: RNAcentral
AAAAAUUCGUUUUUCAAUAUUAUCUAUGAAUAUCUUGAUAAGAUUUUAUUAUUAUUAAAUAGUAAUCAUUACAAAAAAAUUGGAAAAACUAAAAUCAGAAAUACAACCCAACUAAAGGAAAAAUCAUCAGCUAAUUUUCAAAGAAAAAAAAUUGAUAUGAACUUAGAUCAAUGUUCAAACUAUAAUUGCUUCAUGUUGAAGUGUUCUACGAAACACAUAUGUUUUAUUCCAUGUUUUUUCCCUUUCAUCGUCUUGAUUUCCUUCAUCUUUUCUUUUCUUGGUGGAAAUGAUAUCCUUCAUCUUCUGAGUAUGAAAACAAAAAUAACAGAGAAAAAUAAGAGUAAUGCUUGAUAAAAUUAAUAAUUUACAUUAUAGAGAAACAAAGAAAACAUAUUUACCUUCAAAGGUUUUAGAAGAUUAAGUGACUGAUAUGACUAUGCGUUGGAGAUAUCUUGAUUCACCAAAAGUUGGAGACUUGGAGAAGAAGAGAUAACUCCCAAAGCUUUUUUCUUUUUCUUCUGUAUAUGUCGAUCUAGGCAAAAAGAGUAUACUGAAAAAAA